UGAGGAAUAUUGGGCAAUGCCCGAAAGGGUGACCCAGCAACGCCGCGUGGAGGAUGAAGGUCGUAAGAUCGUAAACUCCUGUUAGAGGGGAAGAAUAACUAAGUUUGGAGCUUAGUAUGACUGUACCCUCAGAGAAAGCCCCGGCUAACUACGUGCCAGCAGCCGCGGUAAUACGUAGGGGGCAAGCGUUGUCCGGAUUUACUGGGUGUAAAGGGCGCGCAGGCGGAAUGGAAAGUCAGUGGUGAAAUCCUACAGCUUAACUGUAGAACUGCCUUUGAUACUUUCAUUCUUGAGUUCGGGAGAGAGAGACGGAAUUCCAGGUGUAGUGGUGAAAUACGUAGAUAUCUGGAAGAACACCAGUUGCGAAGGCGGUCUCUUGGUCCGAUACUGACGCUGAGGCGCGAAAGCGUGGGGAGCAAACA
Molecule: ribosomal RNA, 422 nt
Filed under: uncultured bacterium
Lineage: Bacteria
Description: bacterial SSU rRNA
Rfam family: Bacterial small subunit ribosomal RNA
Source: RNAcentral